CGACGCUGCACAGGCCGUCCUCCCCAACAACAUCCUGGUGCUGAGUGAUGGCACAGGUGACUCCAGCAUCAGUGAUUUUGUUGAAGAGGGCAGCUGCCA
Molecule: microRNA precursor, 99 nt
Filed under: Mesocricetus auratus (golden hamster)
Lineage: Eukaryota; Metazoa; Chordata; Mammalia; Rodentia; Cricetidae
Description: miRNA (ENSMAUG00000006016.1)
Rfam family: mir-338 microRNA precursor family (bases 21-87)
Source: RNAcentral